CUCUGAGCUAAAUCCGAAGCCUUUAAUGCACGCCCAGCAAAGGAGUCACAUGAUGGCACUACAAGAAAAAGGUCUGCUGGUGGCUGCCGCAAAUGCUCUAAAUGCAGAUCGAUAAUGCCAGUUUGGACCCAGAGAGCAGAGAGGACAAGAAGGCUGAGUCAGGAGGAGAUCCGGAAAGGCAGUGGUUCGAGAGGAAGGUGUGCAUACAGCUCCUCAGCCUACCUAUCCCCUCAGGCCCACACAAGGAUGCAGGGGCUUGAGGGACUGAAGGAGCAACUAUUACCAGCCCUGGGGUGACACAGUGGCUUCUGAGCACCUGAGAGGUGGCUGAUGUGACCAGAGAACUGAACUUGUCAUUUUCUUAUAUGUUGAUUCACUUAAAUGUCUGCACACUGGAGAAUGGGAGGAAGCCCUGAAGGAUCCACAUAAGACAGUAAACAAACCAGCUAACAGGUGUGAGACUUCUCAGCUUCACCCAGUGACCGCCCGGCACUGUGCUCCCAAAGUCGCUUGGGGUCUGUCCAGUUGCUGGCAGGGCCCCUCCCCGAGACACCCAUCAGCAGCAGGACAUCCCCUCUCUUCAGUGGCCCUGGUGUGCAUUCCCCUGAGGAACCCCGCCCCAGCCGGAGUGACUUAUUAUGGCUGUGCACCGGCCACUGUGCCGGAC
Long non-coding RNA from Heterocephalus glaber (naked mole-rat), 667 nucleotides. NCBI's taxonomy places the organism in Eukaryota, Metazoa, Chordata, Mammalia, Rodentia, Bathyergidae. The record is from Ensembl.